RNAcentral lists this long non-coding RNA (239 nucleotides) under Malus domestica (apple). Its description in RNAcentral is "long non-coding RNA (MDOM_LNC002808)". Lineage: Eukaryota; Viridiplantae; Streptophyta; Magnoliopsida; Rosales; Rosaceae. The record is from RNAcentral.
AACGAAGAACGAAGAACACUUUCUUCAAGGGCCGUCGGGGCUUGAUCUUGAAUUGGUGGAUGGUUGAUCCAAGGGCCGUCGGGGCUUGAUCUUGGAAAAACGAUGAACGAAGAACGAAGAACACUUUCUUCAAGGGCCGUCGGGGCUUGAUCUUGAAUUGGUGGAUGAUUGUUGAUCCAAAGGGCCGUUGGGGCUUGAUCUUGGAAGAACGAUGAACGAAGAACGAAGAACGCUUUCUU